ACAAGUACCGUGAGGGAAAGUUGAAAAGAACUUUGAAGAGAGAGUUCAAAAGGGCGUGAAACCGCGUAGAAGAAAACGGACGGAGCCGUCGGGAGCCUUCGGGAAUCAGUCUUACGAUACGCGAACGUGCCGUAGUUUCGGAACGAAAGUCCGACUGCGAAACGCUUGUAACGUUCGUUUGGCGCAUUUCUCGAAGGUAAGCACCGCGACCGAUACGAAAGGCCGACGAAGCGAUUCGAUUGAGGGCGAGUCCUCUUACGGGGACUCGUAACCAGUCUUUUCGUUCGAAUCGUCGGAUCGCAGUAUGUAUCGAGCGCCAAAGUAAAAUAUACAUCGGCCGUAAAAGCUCGUCGAGCGAUGGAUAGUCGGUUAAUAGUGUUGGUACUUGCUCGCAGGUGCCGAUCUAUUCGAUUCGACUUAGAAGUCGUCGACGACGUUACGAUGUAUAGGCGUCUGCGGUGUCAGUGUCGGCCACCCAUCCGACCCGUCUUGAAACACGGACCAAGGAGUCUAACAUAUGCGCGAGCUAAUGGGUGGAAAACCCAAAAGCGUAAUAAAAGUAAACGCUGUUUCGGACAGCUAAGGUACGAUCUUAGAGUCCGAGCGACUUUAAGCGCAGUACCGUCCCGUCCCGACCGCAUGUCGGUAGGGCGGAGAUAGAGUGCAUACGUUGGGACCCGAAAGAUGGUGAACUAUGCCUGAGCAGAGCGAAGCCAGAGGAAACUCUGGUGGAGGUUCGUAGCGGUUCUGACGUGCAAAUCGAUCGUCAGACUGGUAUA
RNAcentral lists this ribosomal RNA (779 nucleotides) under Allodorylaimus sp. SA138. Its description in RNAcentral is "partial large subunit ribosomal RNA". It matches the Rfam family "Eukaryotic large subunit ribosomal RNA", at positions 344 to 919 of the family's 3401-position model. The record is from RNAcentral. Lineage: Eukaryota; Metazoa; Nematoda; Enoplea; Dorylaimida; Qudsianematidae.